CCUAACAAUUCUUCUGUGUAGCUCUUAAUGUUCUUCCACUCCACACUCCACUGUGGGGUGGCUCCUGAUAUUCUUCCACCCUGAUCUCCCCUCUAUAAGAACCUCCUUUGUAUGAUCUUUCCUUCUGAUCUCUUUUCUCUUUCUUUCUUUAAUCAAUUUGUAAUCUGUAUUUAGAAUGGUGCUAGAUUGUUAAUUGAAGUACAGGUACAUCUGUUACAUUACAAAUUGAUUCUUCUGUGUUUUAAGACCUGAGUGUCUUGUUAUUAGUUCUUACACCCAAGUGCAUCAUUUACAGGCCUGAAUGUCUAGUCAUUAUAAGAGACAAGCCGCAAUCGCUCGCUUGCGCUCGCUUAUCCAGCUUGAAAACACACCGUUUAAUCCCUCGGGC
Molecule: small RNA, 388 nt
Filed under: Histoplasma ohiense
Lineage: Eukaryota; Fungi; Ascomycota; Eurotiomycetes; Onygenales; Ajellomycetaceae
Description: hypothetical lncRNA
Source: RNAcentral